UACGUAGGGUGCGAGCGUUGUCCGGAAUUACUGGGCGUAAAGAGCUCGUAGGUGGUUUGUCGCGUCGUCUGUGAAAUUCCGGGGCUUAACUUCGGGCGUGCAGGCGAUACUGCUGUGGCUAGAGUCUGGUAGAGGAGAGUGGAAUUCCCGGUGUAGCGGUGAAAUGCGUAGAUACUGGUAGGAACACCCAUUGCGAAGGCAGCUCGCUGGACAACACGUGACACUGAGGCGCGAAAGUGUGGGGAGCAAACCGGAUUAGAUACCCGGGUA
RNAcentral lists this ribosomal RNA (270 nucleotides) under uncultured prokaryote. RNAcentral describes it as "partial 16S ribosomal RNA". It matches the Rfam family "Bacterial small subunit ribosomal RNA", at positions 524 to 792 of the family's 1533-position model. The record is from RNAcentral.